AUACGGAGGGGGCUAGCGUUGUUCGGAAUUACUGGGCGUAAAGCGUCCGCAGGCGGAUAAUUAAGUUAGAGGUGAAAUCCCAGGGCUCAACCCUGGAACUGCCUUUAAAACUGGUUAUCUAGAGUUAUGGAGAGGUAAGUGGAAUUCCUAGUGUAGAGGUGAAAUUCGUAGAUAUUAGGAGGAACACCAGAGGCGAAGGCGGCUUACUGGACAUAUACUGACGCUGAGGGACGAAAGUGUGGGUAGCGAACAGGAUUAGAAACCCCGGUAGUCC
This 274-nucleotide ribosomal RNA is filed under the name uncultured bacterium. Its description in RNAcentral is "partial 16S ribosomal RNA". It matches the Rfam family "Bacterial small subunit ribosomal RNA", at positions 523 to 796 of the family's 1533-position model. The record is from RNAcentral.